This 201-nucleotide non-coding RNA is filed under the name Erysipelotrichaceae bacterium. RNAcentral's name for it is "T-box sequence". It matches the Rfam family "T-box leader". Rfam says of the family: Uncharged tRNA acts as the effector for transcription antitermination of genes in the T-box leader family. T-boxes are found upstream of many aminoacyl-tRNA synthetase genes and some amino acid biosynthetic genes usually in Gram-positive bacteria. Lineage: Bacteria; Bacillati; Bacillota; Erysipelotrichia; Erysipelotrichales; Erysipelotrichaceae. The record is from RNAcentral.
UAAAAUACGAUGAAUAGAAGGAGUACUUACAAAGAUUUAAUAGAGAGCUGUUGGUUGCUGAAAAACAGUAAAUGGAUGUAAGGAAGGUAGUCUAGGAGUAGAUGUUCUGAGUUUAGUAAGAAUGUCCGGUUACAGCCGUUAUCUGUUUAAGGCAUACAUUGUAUGCAAAUUAAGGUGGUACCACGAGCAUUCGUCCUUUGG